RNAcentral lists this unclassified non-coding RNA (5069 nucleotides) under Leishmania donovani. RNAcentral's name for it is "gene:LdHU3.34.2070(CDS-product:inositol_5-phospha tase-like_protein)". The record is from RNAcentral. Lineage: Eukaryota; Euglenozoa; Kinetoplastea; Trypanosomatida; Trypanosomatidae.
GUCAGAGCAGGCGUGAGCAGUGGAGCACAUUCGCUCCUCAAGAAGUAGGUGCAUAUGCACACACACACAGAGACGCAGACACCCUACCACAUCCCCCCGGCCAUAAAGACAUCUCGUUGCUUGUAUGUAUGUUUGCUUGCGUGAACCUGCACGCGUGUUCGUUUCUGUGCGUGUGCCUUGUGGAUUUGGUGCGUGUGUGUGUGUGUACUUGUGAGUGCACCCCUGUCGUUCAUUCCCCUUCCUCUCCUUUUUCUUUUCGGCUUUCCGCUUUUCACCUUCGUUGAGUUUCUUUUCCAUCCGUCUGUCUGCAAGCCCAAUCCUCUCCCCCACCCCUCCCUCUAUACACGCGCUUCGUUCCCUAUUCUGUGUGCAUGCCUGUGUCUGUGCGAGCGCGUAUUAGAUGCUUCGAGUAUUUGAACGGAAGUACGUUUUGUUUUUUACUUGUCUUGCUUGGGAAGGAGGUGAGCGACACUUGCUGAGGUGCGUCCGCCCCCCUCCCUCCCCUCCCCCACUGUGUGCUCCUCCGCAUCACCUUCUCUCUCCGUCUCUAUUUGCUUCCUGCCCGAGGUUGGCGGUGUGGGGACAAAGUGACUGCACAGGAGACUCCUGUGCAGUCACAGGAUUGACUGCUAGACAAGUCGUCGCCAGCUGCUCCAACCCGCGCUCGCUCUGUGGCUACUGCUAUUGGGUUGGUGGUGUCGAGGGCUCCGGGAGCGUUUCACUGUCAAGCAGCGCCUUCUGUAUUUCUUGUUUUUUUUUUCCUCUGUGCUGUUACUUCCUGCGUGUUGGAAGGCCACGUCACAUUGCAUCUGGGCUGAUUCGACAGAAGCAGCGCUGCAGUCCACAGUCACCUUUUCAGUCAGCUCUUCCUUUUAGUCGACUUCAUAUUCCGCUACUUUUUGUUUUGCGGUUCUUGCUGACUUGCUGUUUCUCUUGCUGCUGCUUUCCGCGGCUGUGCUGAUGUGCGCCAAAGCCGCUGCCCAUCCGCGCACUGGACGUAUAUUGCUGUUGCCUUCUCUCCCCACCUUGUAUUUUGUGUGGUCUGCAUUGGCUGUCUUCUUGCAGUUGCGUGUUGAUUCGCUCCCUCGCGGAUCGGCAGAUCGGUCCGACUCUUUGUCGUUCUCUGCCUUUCUUUCCGUCACCGUGGUCUUCAUCGUUUUAUCGGCUUCCUCUCGCUCUUCUUGUGUGUUUGCUUCGUCGCACGGGCUUACGUAGUGUGAGUGUGUCGACACACAGCCUCGAGCUGUGGCACAACGUUCUUUUCUCGCUUCUUCCCCUUGUUGUCAUCGCCAUCGUCGGCGUCACUACGACAGCAGCCGUCCUCAUCCUCCGCGCCUUCGCCUCCUCCAGCCCCCCUCCCUCCCUAAGAGAGACAGUGAGAGAGACGCUUUGCCGAGCUCCAUUUUGCGAGAUGCAGGGGACAAACCUCCCUCCCGAGCAACGGUGGAAAAAGGAAGAGGCGCCGCGGGCGCCGCUGUGGGCACGUGCUGCGGUGAUCAUCAUCGAGGUGAUCAUCUGGCUGGUGACCCUCGGCACAGUGAAACGCGUGAAGGCGCUGGAGGUGCUGUUUCACUACUCGCCUCACUGGAGGAAGCGAGACAGGGCGGAGGCAAGUAUCAAAGGGGCUCUGCGAACUGGUAUGGGUGCGGCGCGCCGUCUCGCGCGGCCGCUUCUUCGCAUCGAGACUGAGUUCUCUACGGAGAGCAGCAGUGGCGACAGCGGCGACGUUCUCACGCCAUUAACAGCGACAGCGUACAGGGAGACGUUGAAGAGACGACAGCAGGUAAACGCGCGCAUCCGCAGCUGCCUCCGCGACAUCCCGGUGGACGACCUGCAGGCGCCGUUCCUCGUGAAUGCGUGCACAUGGAAUGUGGAUCAGCAGGCGCCGCCUUUGUAUGAAGACGCCUUCCUGUCCUGGCUGAUUGGACAGGAGCUCACAGACGAGGUGAAGCGCUAUCAGGAUCACAAGCAGGCCGUUUUGGCCUACGGUGGUUCUCUCAGUAAGCCCCACUACCCAACCGGUUCCUCGACGAUGCGCUCCCGAAAAGCGUCUGCGAACGCUGGCUUCAAUGACGAUCCCAGAAGUCCCAAGCGCACCACUGCCGAGGAUUUCCGUCUAGCUGAUCAACAGAGGGCUGCUGCCAUCUUAGAGAGAGAGUGGCAGUGGAUCGAGACAAAGUUCCCGGACUUGUUUCUUAUUAGCCUGCAGGAGGUCGAGAUGACGGGCACGGCGCUCGUGAGGGAGUCGACGCAGCGCAGCUGGGAGUGGGCGGACGCCAUCAUCGAAACCCUCGCCGCCGCCUCAGACCGCACCAUCGACUACAAGAAGGUGCAGGUGGUGCAGCUCGUCGGGCUCGUACUAAUUGUGCUAAUACAGGCAAAGCACGUAGACUACGUCUCUCACGUGCGCCUUUCCCUCACCCGCACCGGAACCCUGUCCGUGCUGGGCAACAAAGGCUCCGUCGCCAUGCGCGUCACCAUCUACGGCAAGCGGUUUCUCUUCAUCUCCGCCCACUUUGUGGCACACAAGCACAACGAGAAGCGCCGCACGAGCAACUACCAAGCGGCGCUGAAGGACAUCCGCUUUGACAUGCCUGUCUGGAGCGACGACGAGACCGAAGUGUUGCAGACCUUUCUGAACGCGAAAGAGGUGCUGAACCACAGCAUCGGGCACUCGUCGGUGCAGGGGAACAGUGCGUGGGAUCGUCUGUUCAGCUUCGGCCAUUCCGCCUUUCGGACGUCUUUCACGACAGCUGCCGAGGCCCGGGUACUGGAUGAGCACGACUACGUCUUUUUCCUCGGAGACUUGAACUCUCGCCUGCACGCGUUGCCCAGCCCACUCAUCAAGGAGUCGGUGGAGCGUGGCGAGUACGACAACCUACUUUGCCACGACGAGCUGCGCCAGCUGAUGGUAUCGGGCGAAGCCUUCGACGGCUUUCAGGAGCAGUGGAUUUCGUUUCCGCCCACGUACAGGUACGACCGAGGCACGGAUGUGUUUGACACCAGUCGCAAGCGCCGCGACCCAGCUUGGUGCGAUCGCGUCCUCUUCCGCGUGCUAGAGAACGAUACAGUGACGGCGACGUCGCAGGAGGAAAUAAGUGCGGAGGCGCCGGAGAGCUCGGGCAGCUUUGAGCCGCCGCUGCACGACCUGCAAUCCUCCUCGUUGCUGAAGUGUGAUUCGCUAACAUCCGGGGUGUGGAUGUCACUAGAAGAGCUUGAAAGUAAGCACCUUUCCCCUAACGCGGCGGCACUAACGAGGGCGGUCUCCGCAGGCUCUUCGUCGGUCACAAGCUCGGAAGACCUUGCCUGCGAGCGAUCGCUGUCGCGUGACGUACAGAAUACCGCCGACGCCCCGCAGAACGACUUUGACUCAGCAGAUAAGCCGUUCCAGUACCCCUCGGCGUCGUUGCCGUGCCGUGCGCCCACGCAUGCGGUGUGGGAACAGAGACGGUGUGCGCCCACCUUCUGUGCCGCGCGUCGUCCACGAGGCUUACUAGAGUCGUCGUCGUCGGGGGAGGUGCUCGCCAUGCCGACACGCUUUCCGAUGGUCACCAACCACAUCCAUCCAUUAGAAUACACGUAUGUGUCGAGUCUGCGACAGUCAGAUCAUCGCCCGGUACGCGCGAGGUUCGAAGUGAAGGUCAUCGCGAUAGAGCCGGCGUUGGUCAGCAAGAUCGUGAAGGAGGUUCAGCAAGUCAUCAAUUGACGACACUCCUUUUUUUUUCGCUGCUUUCGCCUUCUUCCCUCCGACGGGGCCCUAUCUUGCUCGCUCUCGCUACAGGCCUUAUCUUUCUCUCUCGGUAGCGUCGCCCUUCCUCUCUCUCUCGCUCUCACCCCCCCCACUCCCCUCCCGUGUGACCCUCUUGAGUCGAGGGUGCGUUUUUUUUUGCGUGUAGCACUGGAGACACUGCCGCGCGUGGGUAAGGGAGGGAGGAAUAGAUGCUGAUGUGUACCGCGGCAAACGAAAAAAGGGAGAGAACGGGGGGCGGGUAGGCAAAGGAAGAAGCAGCGUGGAACACGAGAAGAGGAAAGAGCGUAGGCACCACUUGAGAUGCGGAUGACACAGUGAACGCACCGAAGAAGUACUGCAGCGCAUAAAAAACAAACAAAACACAAAAAGCAAAACAUGCAGAGGAAACGCUCUUGUCCGUGCCUGUAUACGUGUGUGUGUGCGUAACGGGAAAAAGGCUCUCUUUUCUUCUCCCUCACGAACCCGAUGUACGCUAGGCGCUUACGUUACGAGAAGGAAAGCUCUCCCCCAUCACCCCCCAAUCACCCUCUCCCCACCAACACCACCAGAAAAGGGAGAGGGGGAAGGACGAUGUAACAGGAGGGAAAGAACGACCGCAAAAGGGGUACAGCAACGCCUGCUCUCGGUAUGCGUAUAUAUAAACAGGCUGCAUCUUUUCUGUUUGUGUGUGUACGCACGUGUAUCUCUGAAUACGGAAGGGCCUUUGACAGCGCUAUUGGAAAAAGGCGAGGGGGAGGGCGCAGAAAAAAAAGCGAUACGCACACGCUGGCGGAUGCGGGCAGCGCAGCCGCGUUGUCCUGCCGCUUUGGGUGGGUGGGUGGGUGAGUGGGGGGAGGGGAGGGCUCGCUCGGCCUGCAGAAACGAAACUGCUCGUAUCAUGGAUACGCAGAACUCUCUCUCUCCUCGCUCGCUCGGAAGGAUGUUUAGUCUCUCAUGUUUUUUUUUUGGGGGGGGGCGGCUUGGCUUGUACUGCUAUGCUAUCCUUUUGUUUUUUUUUUCGUCCCCCGUGCUGUGGUUUUCUGCUUCAUGUGUAAUGCGCGGGCACCUCCUCUUCGUAUCCACUCGAUCCUCUGACUAUCCGCGCGUUUUCCUCUGUUUCGUUGGUCACGUGCUUUUCUGGGUUUCCCCGCUCCCUCAUUGUGUUUCUCCGGUGUUGCAGUGUGCCCCCCCCCCUCACACACACUCACAUCGUAUCAUUUGUCCACCCUCCCUUCCUGCCUGCCUGUGCUCGCUUCAUGCUGGUCUCUUUCUCCACACACAGUCUCACCCCAUCUUUUCCUUUUCGUUUUUGCUUCCAUGCGCGGAUGUUGAAUCAAAG